GGUAGUACGAGCGCAAGCUUAAAACUCAAAGGAAUAGACGGGGGCUCGCACAAGCGGUGGAUCAUGUGGCUUAAUUCGUCGAUAAGCGAAAAACCUUACCUAGGCUAGAUAUCAUACUGCACGCUUCGGGAAACCGAAGAAGCCUUCGAGGGUGUAUGACAGGUGAUGCAUGGCCGUCGUCAGUUCGUGUCUUGAGAUGUUCCCUUAAGUGGGGAAACGAACGCAACCCUCGUUGCCUGUUACAAGUGUCAGGCGAGACUGCCCCCUCACGGGGGAGGAAGGUGAGGAUGACGCCAGGUCAGCAUGUCCCUUGAUGCCUAGGGCUGCACACGUGAUACAAUGGGAUGUACAAAGGGACGCAAUACAGUAAUGUGGAGCAAAUCCUGAUAAAACAUUCCUCAGUUCGGAUUGUGGGCUGCAACUCGCCCACAUGAAGUCGGAAUCGCUAGUAAUCGUGAAUCAGCACGUCACGGUGAAUACGUUCCCGAGCCUUGUACUCACCGCCCGUCAAGUCAGGGGAGUCGGAAGUGCCCGAAGGUCGUCCUUGCGGCGAACUACGGUAAAUUCGAUAACAAGGACUAAGUCGUAACAAGGCACGGCUAGCGGAAGCUG
RNAcentral lists this ribosomal RNA (612 nucleotides) under Okeania sp. SIO3H1. RNAcentral describes it as "bacterial SSU rRNA". It matches the Rfam family "Bacterial small subunit ribosomal RNA", at positions 876 to 1514 of the family's 1533-position model. The record is from RNAcentral. Lineage: Bacteria; Bacillati; Cyanobacteriota; Cyanophyceae; Oscillatoriales; Microcoleaceae.